GACGAACGCUGGCGGCGUGCCUAAUACAUGCAAGUCGAACGCUUCUUUUUCCACCGGAGCUUGCUCCACCGGAAAAAGAGGAGUGGCGAACGGGUGAGUAACGCGUGGGUAACCUGCCCAUCAGAAGGGGAUAACACUUGGAAACAGGUGCUAAUACCGUAUAACAAUCGAAACCGCAUGGUUUUGAUUUGAAAGGCGCUUUCGGGUGUCGCUGAUGGAUGGACCCGCGGUGCAUUAGCUAGUUGGUGAGGUAACGGCUCACCAAGGCCACGAUGCAUAGCCGACCUGAGAGGGUGAUCGGCCACAUUGGGACUGAGACACGGCCCAAACUCCUACGGGAGGCAGCAGUAGGGAAUCUUCGGCAAUGGACGAAAGUCUGACCGAGCAACGCCGCGUGAGUGAAGAAGGUUUUCGGAUCGUAAAACUCUGUUGUUAGAGAAGAACAAGGAUGAGAGUAAC
RNAcentral lists this ribosomal RNA (459 nucleotides) under uncultured bacterium. Its description in RNAcentral is "bacterial SSU rRNA". It matches the Rfam family "Bacterial small subunit ribosomal RNA", at positions 28 to 465 of the family's 1533-position model. The record is from RNAcentral.